Non-coding RNA from Phrynosoma platyrhinos (Desert horned lizard), 73 nucleotides. Lineage: Eukaryota; Metazoa; Chordata; Lepidosauria; Squamata; Phrynosomatidae. The record is from the annotation of a GenBank genome assembly.
GCCAGCGUGGCUUAGUGGUCUGAGCGCCGGACUAAGAUUCUGGGGACCAGGGUUCGAGUCCCACUGUGUGACG